GGUAUCAUGGCAGAGUGGUUAUUGCGGGGUACUGUUAAUACCUUUUUCCAGAGGUUCAAUUCCUCUUGAUGCCU
This 74-nucleotide transfer RNA is filed under the name Fuscoporia gilva. RNAcentral describes it as "tRNA-Asn". It matches the Rfam family "tRNA". Rfam says of the family: Transfer RNA (tRNA) molecules are approximately 80 nucleotides in length. Their secondary structure includes four short double-helical elements and three loops (D, anti-codon, and T loops). RNAcentral also lists the same sequence under 3 other names. The record is from RNAcentral. Lineage: Eukaryota; Fungi; Basidiomycota; Agaricomycetes; Hymenochaetales; Hymenochaetaceae.